UGUAAUCAAGGUAAUAAGGGGCACCUGUUGACAGGUGCGACGGCGUAUUUUUUCUCUUUUGACUCCAUGUCGCCAGGUACGCGGCGUGUAGUGGCGUUGUUUCAAGAGAAAUAAUAUUUAAGUGUCGCGGACUCCCGUGGAACGAUCAUGAAAAGAUUGUUUUCCUCGCGAGUGGGCGAAAUAUUUUGUUGCACCGCCGCGAGGAAGCCCAGCGGUAUGGAGGCAUCAUUCCACAACGGUGUGUUCUGAAACUGCGGGUUAUCAGCUGCUGCUGAAGACCUUCCAGAUUGAAAAAGUCUUGUGUCAUUUCCUACAUGAUGAUUCCAGGGAUUGUGUGGUCCUGAUAAAGGAGAGCUGAGUCAGUGACCCAGACUGACAGAGAAAGGUCCGGUGGGAGCCAGUGCUCUACUCACUGCACAACAGAUGGUUUUCACAAUGAAGAGAAAUCAAACCCUGACCUUGCAAGAGUUUCGGGGCAUUCCAUUUAUUUUCUAGUCCAUUCAAAGACGGAAUACACUGACAGAUGGUGCUGGCUGACAGAUUUGUCCAACACUUGAGAUUUCUUUAUUUUAAGGUUAAGGAUAAGUGUUGCUGCCAUAACAUAAUCAUACAUUGGAUGUUAGGAUCUCCGUUCGAACAGCCAGACUAUUUAGUUAUGAAUUCGAUUUCAUAUGUCUGAUGUUUUGUAUUCAUUUUUUUCUGUGUGCUUGUUUUCAAGUUUUUAUCCUUUUUUUUUUUUUUUAUCGUUUUUAUCCUUUGAUAGGACACAAUUAACA
This is a long non-coding RNA of Solea solea (common sole), 776 nucleotides long. RefSeq lists it as uncharacterized. Lineage: Eukaryota; Metazoa; Chordata; Actinopteri; Pleuronectiformes; Soleidae. The record is from RefSeq and is a predicted model, not a curated record. The transcript has 4 exons.